UAGUGGCGGACGGGUGAGUAACACGUGAGAAUUUGCCUUUAGGAGGGGGAUAACAAUCGGAAACGAAUGCUAAUACCCCAUAUGCUUUUGAGUGAAACGGAUUUAUCCGCCUAAAGAGAAGCUCGCGGCUGAUUAGCUUGUUGGUAAGGUAAGAGCUUACCAAGGCGACGAUCAGUAUCUGGUUUGAGAGGACGAUCAGACACACUGGAACUGAGACACGGUCCGGACUCCUACGGGAGGCAGCAGUGGGGAAUUUUCCGCAAUGGGCGAAAGCCUGACGGAGCAAUACCGCGUGAGGGAAGAAUGCCUAUGGGUUGUAAACCUCUUUUUUCAGGGAGGAAUAAAAUGACGUGUACCUGAAGAAUAAGCAUCGGCUAACUCCGUGCCAGCAGCCGCGGUAAGACGGAGGAUGCAAGUGUUAUCCGGAAUCACCGGGCGUAAAGCGUCUGUAGGUGGUUUAAUAAGUCAACUGUUAAAUCUUGAGGCUCAACUUCAAAAUCGCAGUCGAAACUAUUAGACUAGAGUAUAGUAGGGGUAAAGGGAAUUUCCAGUGGAACAGUGAAAUGCGUAGAUAUUGGAAAGAACACCGAUGGCGAAAGCACUUUACUGGGCUAUUACUAACACUCAGACACAAAAGCUAGGGUAGCACAUGGGAUUAUAUACCCCAGUAUUCCUAGCCGUAAACUAUGGAUACU
This 695-nucleotide ribosomal RNA is filed under the name uncultured bacterium. RNAcentral's name for it is "bacterial SSU rRNA". It matches the Rfam family "Bacterial small subunit ribosomal RNA", at positions 93 to 817 of the family's 1533-position model. The record is from RNAcentral.